GACUUUAUGUUUUAAUUAAGAUUAUCAGAAAUUUAUUUUUUAGUUAUGAUUGGGGUGAUUUUUAAAGAUUAUUAAUCUUUAAAAUUUUUUAAUAAAAAAGUUCCAUUAGUAGUGAUUUUUUGAUAAAAAUACUCUAGGGAUAACAGCGUUAUUAUUUUGGAUAGUUCAUAUAGAUAAAAUAGUUUGCGACCUCGAUGUUGGAUUAGAGAUCGGAUUCUUUUAUGACUGAAGAAGUUAUAAGGGAGAAGUUUGCUCAACUUUUAAAGUCCUACUUGAUCUGAGUUCAGACCGGA
Molecule: ribosomal RNA, 293 nt
Filed under: Ornithodoros coriaceus
Lineage: Eukaryota; Metazoa; Arthropoda; Arachnida; Ixodida; Argasidae
Description: partial 16S ribosomal RNA
Rfam family: Bacterial large subunit ribosomal RNA (bases 139-293)
Source: RNAcentral